Molecule: ribosomal RNA, 568 nt
Filed under: uncultured bacterium
Lineage: Bacteria
Description: partial 16S ribosomal RNA
Rfam family: Bacterial small subunit ribosomal RNA
Source: RNAcentral
UGGGGAAUUUUGGACAAUGGGCGAAAGCCUGAUCCAGCCAUGCCGCGUGCAGGAUGAAGGCCUUCGGGUUGUAAACUGCUUUUGUACGGAACGAAAAGCCUCUUUCUAAUAAAGAGGGGUCAUGACGGUACCGUAAGAAUAAGCACCGGCUAACUACGUGCCAGCAGCCGCGGUAAUACGUAGGGUGCAAGCGUUAAUCGGAAUUACUGGGCGUAAAGCGUGCGCAGGCGGUUUUGUAAGACAGAGGUGAAAUCCCCGGGCUCAACCUGGGAACUGCCUUUGUGACUGCAAGGCUGGAGUGCGGCAGAGGGGGAUGGAAUUCCGCGUGUAGCAGUGAAAUGCGUAGAUAUGCGGAGGAACACCGAUGGCGAAGGCAAUCCCCCUGGGCCUGCACUGACGCUCAUGCACGAAAGCGUGGGGAGCAAACAGGAUUAGAUACCCUGGUAGUCCACGCCCUAAACGAUGUCAACUGGUUGUUGGGGUCUUCACUGACUCAGUAACGAAGCUAACGCGUGAAGUUGACCGCCUGGGGAGUACGGCCGCAAGGUUGAAACUCAAAUGAAUUGAC